This 301-nucleotide ribosomal RNA is filed under the name uncultured bacterium. Its description in RNAcentral is "partial 16S ribosomal RNA". It matches the Rfam family "Bacterial small subunit ribosomal RNA", at positions 509 to 807 of the family's 1533-position model. The record is from RNAcentral.
CAGUAGCCGCGGUAAUACGUAGGUGGCAAGCGUUGUCCGGAAUUACUGGGCGUAAAGCGUACGUAGGCGGUUUUGUAAGUUAGAGGUGAAAGCCCGGAGCUCAACUCCGGAAUUGCCUUUAAGACUGCAUCGCUUGAACGUCGGAGAGGUGAGUGGAAUUCCGAGUGUAGAGGUGAAAUUCGUAGAUAUUCGGAAGAACACCAGUGGCGAAGGCGGCUCACUGGACGACUGUUGACGCUGAGGUACGAAAGCGUGGGGAGCAAACAGGAUUAGAUACCCGCGUAGUCCCUGUCUCUUAUAC